ACUAGUAGAGCAGGCGCACGGGUGCGUAAACACGUGGGUAAUCUGCCUAGAAGCCUGGGAAUAACCAGUCGAAAGAUUGGCUAAUACCAAGAUAAGCCCACGGGGACUUCGGUCCUCGAAGGGAACAAGGUGGCCUCAAUGUAUACAAGCUAUCACUUCUAGAUGAAGCCCCCGCGGCACCAUCAGCUAGUUGGCAGGGGUAAUGGCCACACCAAGGCAACGACGGGUAGCUGGUCUGAGAGGACGAUCAGCCACACUGGAACUGAGAACACGGUCCAGACUCCUACGGGAGGCAGCAGUGGGGAAUUUUGCGCAAUAGGAGCGAAAGCCUGACGCAGCAACGCCGCGUGUGUGAUGAAGGUCUUCGGAUUGUAAAGCACUUAUCGACCCGGGAACGAAAACCCAUGAAGCUCAACAUCUUCAGGUUUGACGGUACCGGGAGAAGAAGCACCGGCUAAACUCUGUGCCAGCAGAACCGCGGUAAUACAGAGGGUGCAAGCGUUGUUCGGAAUUAUUGGGCGUAAAGCGCGUGUAGGCGGCUUAUGCAAGUCGGGUGUGAAAGCCCUCAGCUCAACUGAGGAAGUGCGCCCGAAACUGCAGAGCUUGCAGUGCCGGAGAGGGAUCGAGCGGAAUUCCCCAAGUAGAGGUGAAAUUCGUAGAUAUGGGGAGGAACACCGGUGGCGAAGGCGGCCACCUGGACGGUAACUGACGCUGAGAACGCGAAAGCGUGGGGAGCAAACAGGAUUAGAUACCACUGCGUAGUCCACGCACGUAAAACGAUGAGAACUAGGUGUCGUGGGAGUUGACCCCACGCGGUGCCGUAGCUAACGCAUUAAGUUCUCCGACCUGGGAAGUACGGUCGAACAAGACUAAAACUCAAAGGAAUUGACGGGGGAACCCCGCACAAGCGGUCGGAAGCAUGUGGUUUAAUUCGACGCAACGCGCAGAACCUUAC
Molecule: ribosomal RNA, 955 nt
Filed under: uncultured Myxococcales bacterium
Lineage: Bacteria; Pseudomonadati; Myxococcota; Myxococcia; Myxococcales
Description: bacterial SSU rRNA
Rfam family: Bacterial small subunit ribosomal RNA
Source: RNAcentral